ACACGUGGGUGACCUACCUUCGAGUGGGGGAUAACGUCCCGAAAGGGACGCUAAUACCGCAUAACAUCCUGCCUUUGAACAGGUGGAGAUCAAAGCCGGGGAUCGCAAGACCUGGCGCUUGAUGAGGGGCCCGCGCCUGAUUAGCUAGUUGGUGGGGUAAUGGCUCACCAAGGCGACGAUCAGUAUCCGGCCUGAGAGGGCGGACGGACACACUGGGACUGAGACACGGCCCAGACUCCUACGGGAGGCAGCAGUGGGGAAUUGUUCGCAAUGGGCGCAAGCCUGACGACGCAACGCCGCGUGGAGGAUGAAGGUCUUCGGAUUGUAAACUCCUGUUGCUCGGGACGAAAAGCUUCGACCUAAUACGUCGAAGUCUGACGGUACCGAGUGAGGAAGCCCCGGCUAACUCUGUGCCAGCAGCCGCGGUAAUACAGAGGGGGCAAGCGUUGUUCGGAAUUACUGGGCGUAAAGGGCGCGUAGGCGGCCUGCUAAGUCGAACGUGAAAUCCCUGGGCUCAACCCAGGAACUGCGUCCGAUACUGGUUGGCUUGAAUCCGGGAGAGGGACGUGGAAUUCCAGGUGUAGCGGUGAAAUGCGUAGAUAUCUGGAGGAACACCGGUGGCGAAGGCGACGUCCUGGACCGGCAUUGACGCUGAGGCGCGAAAGCCAGGGGAGCAAACGGGAUUAGAUACCCCGGUAGUCCUGGCCCUAAACGAUGAAUGCUUGGUGUGGUGGGGUAUCG
This 741-nucleotide ribosomal RNA is filed under the name uncultured Pseudomonadota bacterium. Its description in RNAcentral is "bacterial SSU rRNA". It matches the Rfam family "Bacterial small subunit ribosomal RNA", at positions 113 to 835 of the family's 1533-position model. Lineage: Bacteria; Pseudomonadati; Pseudomonadota. The record is from RNAcentral.